UGGGGAAUAUUGCACAAUGGGCGCAAGCCUGAUGCAGCCAUGCCGCGUGUAUGAAGAAGGCCUUCGGGUUGUAAAGUACUUUCAGCGAGGAGGAAGGCAUUAAGGUUAAUAACCUUAGUGAUUGACGUUACUCGCAGAAGAAGCACCGGCUAACUCCGUGCCAGCAGCCGCGGUGAUACGGAGGGUGCAAGCGUUAAUCGGAAUUACUGGGCGUAAAGCGCACGCAGGCGGUUUGUUAAGUCAGAUGUGAAAUCCCCGGGCUCAACCUGGGAACUGCAUUUGAAACUGGCAAGCUUGAGUCUUGUAGAGGGGGGUAGAAUUCCAGGUGUAGCGGUGAAAUGCGUAGAGAUCUGGAGGAAUACCGGUGGCGAAGGCGGCCCCCUGGACAAAGACUGACGCUCAGGUGCGAAAGCGUGGGGAGCAAACAGGAUUAGAUACCCUGGUAGUCCACGCUGUAAACGAUGUCGACUUGGAGGUUGUUCCCUUGAGGAGUGGCUUCCGGAGCUAACGCGUUAAGUCGACCGCCUGGGGAGUACGGCCGCAAGGUUA
RNAcentral lists this ribosomal RNA (549 nucleotides) under uncultured bacterium. RNAcentral's name for it is "bacterial SSU rRNA". It matches the Rfam family "Bacterial small subunit ribosomal RNA", at positions 355 to 896 of the family's 1533-position model. The record is from RNAcentral.